This 502-nucleotide ribosomal RNA is filed under the name uncultured bacterium. Its description in RNAcentral is "partial 16S ribosomal RNA". It matches the Rfam family "Bacterial small subunit ribosomal RNA", at positions 28 to 523 of the family's 1533-position model. The record is from RNAcentral.
GAUGAACGCUAGCGGCAGGCCUAACACAUGCAAGUCGAGGGGCAGCACAGAAACAGCAAUGUUUUGGUGGCGACCGGCGGACGGGUGCGUAACGCGUAUGCAACCUACCUUUAACAGGGGGAUAACGGAGAGAAAUUUCCACUAAUACCCCAUAACAUCGAUCAAGGCAUCUUGAUUGGUUGAAAACUCCGGUGGUUAAAGAUGGGCAUGCGUUGUAUUAGGUAGUUGGUGAGGUAAUGGCUCACCAAGCCUACGAUGCAUAGGGGGACUGAGGGGUUAGCCCCCCACACUGGUACUGAGACACGGACCAGACUCCUACGGGAGGCAGCAGUGAGGAAUAUUGGUCAAUGGGGGCAACCCUGAACCAGCCAUGCCGCGUGCAGGAAGACGGCUCUAUGAGUUGUAAACUGCUUUUAAACAGGGAUAAAGCACAGUAUGUAUACUGUGUUGAAGGUACUGUAAGAAUAAGGAUCGGCUAACUCCGUGCCAGCAGCCGCCGUAA